GACGAACCGAGCGAACGUUAUUCGGAAUCACUGGGCUUAAAGGGCGCGUAGGCGGGCCGUCAAGUCGAGGGUGAAAUCCCCCAGCUCAACUGGGGAAGUGCCUCCGAUACUGGCGGCCUCGAGGGGGAUAGGGGCAUGCGGAACUUCCGGUGGAGCGGUGAAAUGCGUAGAUAUCGGAAAGAACACCAACGGCGAAAGCACUCUGCUGGGCCGACACUGACACUGAGAGACGAAAGCUAGGGGAGCGAAUGGG
This 253-nucleotide ribosomal RNA is filed under the name uncultured bacterium. RNAcentral's name for it is "partial 16S ribosomal RNA". It matches the Rfam family "Bacterial small subunit ribosomal RNA", at positions 524 to 776 of the family's 1533-position model. The record is from RNAcentral.